RNAcentral lists this ribosomal RNA (305 nucleotides) under uncultured bacterium. RNAcentral describes it as "bacterial SSU rRNA". It matches the Rfam family "Bacterial small subunit ribosomal RNA", at positions 337 to 659 of the family's 1533-position model. The record is from RNAcentral.
UCCUACGGGACGCAGCAGUGGGGGAUAUUGCACAAUGGGGGAAACCCUGAUGCAGCGACGCCGCGUGGGUGAAGAAGCGCCUCGGCGCGUAAAGCCCUGUCAGCAGGGAAGAAAAUGACGGUACCUGAAGAAGAAGCCCCGGCUAACUACGUGCCAGCAGCCGCGGUAAUACGUAGGGGGCAAGCGUUAUCCGGAUUUACUGGGUGUAAAGGGAGCGCAGGCGGGAAGCCAAGUCAGCUGUGAAAACUACGGGCUUAACUUGUAGACUGCAGUUGAAACUGGUUUUCUUGAGUGAAGUAGAGAUU